This 497-nucleotide ribosomal RNA is filed under the name uncultured bacterium. RNAcentral's name for it is "partial 16S ribosomal RNA". It matches the Rfam family "Bacterial small subunit ribosomal RNA", at positions 28 to 507 of the family's 1533-position model. The record is from RNAcentral.
GAUGAACGCUGGCGGCGUGCCUAAUACAUGCAAGUCGAACGGACGGACGAUAAUCUUGCGUCUCUGAUGUUAGCGGCGGACGUGUGAAUAACGCGUGGAUAACCUACCUAUAAGAGGGAUAUAACUUCGGAAAACCGGAGCUAAUACCGUAGAAGAUUUUGAACCGCAUUGUGCAAAGGUAAAAUACGGUCUUGCUGGCACGUAUAGAUGGAUCCGCGCUUCAUUAGAUAGUUGGUAAGGUAACGGCUUACCAAGGCAACGAUGCAUAGCCGACCUGAGAGGGUGAUAGGCCACACUGGAACUGAGACACGGUCAAGACUACUAAGGGACGCAGCAGUCGGGAAUCUUACGCAACGGGCGAAAGCAUGACGGAGCAACGCCGAGCGAGUGAUGAAGGUCUCCGGAUCGUAAAACUCUGUUAUUAGGGAAGAACAUAUGUGUACGUAAAUGUGCACAUCUUGACGGUACCUAAUCAGAAAGCCACGGCUAACUACGUG